This 2152-nucleotide long non-coding RNA is filed under the name Paramuricea clavata. Lineage: Eukaryota; Metazoa; Cnidaria; Anthozoa; Malacalcyonacea; Plexauridae. The record is from RNAcentral.
GGAAUCUUUGAUGUUGAUGUCCUCGCGCAUGUCGCCUCGCGCAUCUUGGCCGUGUCUCGUUUCCAGUGCCCUAAACAAGUGUAAUUUGACAAAUUUUCAUGUAAACAUUGAGGAGUGAGAAAGUUAAAACGAUACCAAUCGAGUUUUAGAGCUUUGGUGACCAUUUUAAAAGAAUAUAUCAUAAAUUCAAAGGUAAGUCUAUCGUACUGCAUUGUCUUAAAUGAAUUCUCAGCUAAAAUACGGCAAUAAAUGGAUCAUAAACUUAGCUAAAUUUACUGUUGACAACGAGGUUGACAGAUCCAUUGCUUUGUUGCCUUGAAUAGCUUUACCAUAGUCAUUUUACCUUAAAAUGUAGCUGCUGAGGAUAUCUCUAAGAGAUUUACCAAGAUUAUUUGCACAAUCUCACGAUUUAAUCAUGCUGAUAACAUGAAAGUCCUUGUGCCAUUCUAUACUUGGCAUAAUCUCUACAUCAAUAGUUCACCAGUUCACUAAUAUAAAUUCAAUAUAUUUUUGAACCAGUCCAUAUAUUAUUAUGCACAAUGUAGUAUAGUUAAUUUGACCAUAUUUGAGAAGUUAGGGUGUAUUUCAUUACACAGACACUGCUGAAUUUUAGGUUACAUGCCAUUGGAUUGAUAUAUAAAAAACACUUGUAAAACACACAUUAUCUUAAGUUCUUUGUAUGUUUGCAUGGUGAUAAAAUAUAAUAGGUUUUGUUUGUGGAAACACCAUGUAAAUUUAUUACUGCAAAGCUUUCGAUCCGUAAGCCCGGAUCUUCAUCAGUGCUAAUAAUAUGUUAUUAUUAGCACUGAUGAAGAUCCGGGCUUACGGAUCGAAAGCUUUGCAGUAAUAAAUUUACGUGGUGUUUCCACAAACAAAACCUAUUACACAUUAUCUUGUUGAUAGAAUAGUUAUUUGCAGUAUACUAACUGUUGGCAUACUCUAUUUCAGGACUAUCAAUUGUUUUUGUCACUGGCAGUCUUUGAAAUACAAUCUUGCUCUGUGGCCUUUACUGACAAGUUGGCUUUUACUACAUAUGUGGCACUGACACUUCUUUAAUUAAUGCACCAGUCAAUGUAAACCCCCCAACCAGGGAGGGGCAGGGAUUUUGAAUUGGAGGGGUAGUAAAAGAGCGAAAUUGUCCCCACCCCCAGGGACAUCAAUGUCCCCCAGGGUCUUAGCUAGAGGGCCGUGUUAGCCGUGUUAUCACAGCCAAAAAUGGAAAAACACGGCUAGAUAAAAUGAACGCGGCUUCAUUAUUUAUAUAAGGUCGUGUAUGUUCAUAAAAUAAGAUGUGCUACUUGCAACAGACAGAAUUUAUUUCUAUUUACGUUAUAAGAAAGUUUGUAAAAUCUGUUGUUGUUGAAAUUGGCAAAAGUGAUCUGUGAUGUUUUAAUGUUUUGAUGGAUAAUGGGAACUGUAUGGUGUUAAAAUGGUUUUAAAUACCCCCAAGAGUUGCUGAAAUAACUUAAUAUUUUAAUGUCAGUGAGCAAAAUGAGUAUAUGCUUGCCUUGUAUUUGGUUGCAAAGCAUAGAACAACCAUAGGCAUUGUCCGUUGUUGUAGAACCGUAAAAUUAGCUAUGCAAGGUAAUUGACAUGUGCACACCCUGGUAAUUUAGAAACACACCCAAGAUCUAAAAUCCUAGCUAAGACCCUGAUGUCCCCUGCAUGUCUCUCAACCCCAGGAAAAUAGUUUUGUAUAAUCAUAGAUCAGCAAUAGAAAAUCAAAUUAAUUUAUGUUGUUGUAUUUAAACUUUUCUUGUCAAGAAAACUAAAACAGCAACACAGGAUAUAUAUGUUAACCACUGUCCAAGUCUCCCAUCAUCGGGGACAAAUUUAUAAUCAAAACUGACCACUUUCCCCGCUAAACCUUCCGCCCCUCCCCGGUUGGGGGCAGGGAUUUACAUUGACUGGUGCAUAACUAGAUGAUUGCAUGAAGCAUUGCAUGGAAGUUGAUUUAUAAUUAGUUUAUGAAUAAACUCACACUUUCAUUAUAAUGGUUAAUCGAAUAUAUCAAAUGCAUUUGAUUGGUUGAUGGUCCCUUAAUGGUAAUCAAAUCUGAACCUAUAUAAUGUCAAUAUACUGGAAAAGUAUCAAAUUAAAUUUUAAUUGUCAAUGUUGUGGGAAGUAAAUAAAUCAAACAAUUCUGUUUCAA